UCGAGAAUUUUUCACAAUGGGGGCAACCCUGAUGGAGCGACGCCGCGUGGAGGAUGAAGGCCUUCGGGUCGUAAACUCCUGUCACUACAGAACAAGUGUACAGGUGCUAAUCAAUCUGUACUUGAUGGUAUGUGGAGAGGAAGAGACGGCUAACUCUGUGCCAGCAGCCGCGGUGAUACAGAGGUCUCAAGCGUUGUUCGGAUUUACUGGGCGUAAAGGGUGCGUAGGGUGUUGGGAAAGUCGGGUGUGAAAGCUCACCGCUUAACGGUGAAACUGCAUUCGAUACUACCUGACUAGAGGAUCGGAGAGGAAAUCGGAAUUCUUGGUGUAGCGGUGAAAUGCGUAGAUAUCAAGAGGAACGCCGAUGGCGAAAGCAGAUUUCUGGAAGACUCCUGACCCUGAGGCACGAAGGCUAGGGUAGCAAACA
RNAcentral lists this ribosomal RNA (427 nucleotides) under uncultured prokaryote. RNAcentral's name for it is "bacterial SSU rRNA". It matches the Rfam family "Bacterial small subunit ribosomal RNA", at positions 355 to 774 of the family's 1533-position model. The record is from RNAcentral.